Molecule: long non-coding RNA, 560 nt
Filed under: Anser brachyrhynchus (Pink-footed goose)
Lineage: Eukaryota; Metazoa; Chordata; Aves; Anseriformes; Anatidae
Description: lncRNA (ENSABRG00000007551.1)
Source: RNAcentral
CACUAAGUAUUUUGCCUGAAUAAAGACUGGAGAAAGGGCCUGUAAUGAGAAUUAUACUCUUCAGGUGCAAAUUCAGUCUCUGGGUCCCUUGUAGGUCAGUCACCUGAAGGCUUAAAUGGCAAGUCCCUUUAUGGCCCAAUGUGCGUCCUCGACGAUUUCAGAAAGAUCCAGCACCAUCUCAGCCCAACAGGGACCUGACUUCGAAUUGCUCCUGUUCAAAUUGAGGCUCAGACCCCCUCCAAGAAUGGUCAUUGGCCUCGCAGAAAACUGAUGGCGAAAGAAGAAAAAAGGGGAGGUGUAUAUUUUUUUCUGCAAGGUGAGUGAAUUGAACUGGCUUACAGGGGUAUCUGAUGAACUCGAGGGCUGGGGAGGAGGUUGAACCACCUGGCCAGAACCAGGAACUGCACAGCCAGGACAGGAGAGGAAAAAGGGGAACAAAGACGUUGGGUAGGGGAAGAACUUUACCUGUUCAGUGAACAGAACAUAUUUGAUCAGUUCAACUGACCAGAACAACUGUUCGUGUUUGGCCUUAAUUACUUCUGCUUACUCUCUUUCAGCCU